AGAUUCGGGGGCACAUGUAUCCCCUGGGGAUAUUGUGUGAUGCUGAGGUUUGGGAUGCAAAUGAUCCUGUCACUGAGAUGGAGUUUUGCUCUUGUUGCCCAGGUUGGAGUGCAAUGGCAUGACCUCAGCUGACUGCAACCUCCACGUCCCAGCUUCAAGUGAUUCUCCUGCCUCAGCCUCCCAAGAACGCACUCACUGACUGGCUUGGAAGGAGGAAUGCAAUAUAAGAGGAGAAUCAAUGCACGGAGGUGACCAAGAUUUCUUCCUUCACAACUUUGCCUAGAGCUGGCUGUAUCUGCAGUUUCAGUAUGGUGCCAGAUCAUCCUCUCCCUGGCCCAAGCUUUGAUGCAAUGAUAGCUUCCAGUUCACAUGAAAGCUAAAAUUUGUAUUUAAAGAAUAUACUUUUAGAAGUCUUAGCAUAGAGGAUUGAGGAAAAUGAGAACCAAUUAAUUCCAUCCUUCUUAAAAUUGCUUCUAUGUGUCCAAAUGUUUGAUAAUACUCUGCCUGAGUUUAUUUCACUUGCCAUGGAGUUGUGGACUUGAGCUUUUCAUCUACAUUUCAAGGGUGCCAUGUGAGAACGCUGCAAGAAGGCUCUUACCAGGUGCCAGCAACUUGAUCUUGGACUUUCCGACCUCCAGAACUGAAGGAGGAUCAUGGAGUCUGUACGACACACCUGACUCCCUCCAGCUGUUACUCAAGCCCAUGGCCACCACCCCAGUGUCCUUAACCUUGGGUGCACAUUGGAAUCACCUGGGGAGUUUUGAAAAAUCUUGAUGCCAGGCUGCACCACACAUCAAUUAAAUCAGAAGCUCUGGUGGAUGAGACCAAGGCAUCAAUAGUUUUGAAAAUGCUCCAGGUGAUUGAUAAUAAGGGGGCUGUUGGAGACCAUUACGUCACAACCAUUCAUCUUUAAGGAUUUAACUGGAAGAGCAAACAACUCUUUCUAGAAUGUCAUUGCCAUCAGAUGAAUGCCCGGCUUGAGAAGUGGCUUCCUGUUAUUACGGUGUGAAGUCUAAUUCUUUCACUCUAAUUUCUUAGACCACAUCUACCCAUUUUGCUUCUUCCUGUUUCCCGGCAUGCACUCUGUUGCAGUCAGGCUGCUUCCUGCCUGUUGCCCCACCCACUCCUUCAUGCUGUGUCUGUUCAUGCUGCUUUUUCCACUGGAUCCUCUCUGUCUCCUCUCUCCCCAGAAAAAGUACAAUCAUUCCUCAAGGCACCAUUCAGGUCACAUCCCCUCCAUGAAACUUCUAACUACUCUGGACCACAGUGAUCUUGCCAUUCUCUAAGGCUCCACUUCUCUCACAGGACCACAAUGGCUACAUGUCCUCCUGGCCCUUCUGUAAUUUUCUACUCCAUGCUAACCCUUGCUCUGAGGUGCCAAGGAGAGUGCACACAGAUGCCCAACACUGACAGACCAAACCCUAUAGCAUAGAGAACUGACAUCCUACUUCCUGUGUAAACACAGGAUCCAUCAGAACCUAAAGGCAGUUUUGAUGGUUAAUUUUAUGCAUCAACUUGACUGAGCUACGGGGUGCCCAGACAUUUGGCCAAACAUUAUUCUGGGUGUGUCUGUGAGGGUGCUUAUGGAUGAGAUUAACAUUUCAAUCAGUAGACUAGUAAAGCAAAUGUUCUUCCCUGAUGUGGGUGGGCCUCAUCCAAAGAUAAUUGAGAAGAAACUUCUCCUGCCUAACUGUUGUUAAGCUGGGACAUCAGUGUUCUCCUGCCUUCAAACUCAGUCUUAAACUGUAACUUCUCCCUUCAGUUCUGUUGGUUCUCAGGCCUUUGGACGCAGUCUGAAAUGAUGCCAUCAGCUCUCCUGGGUCUCCAGCUUGCCUACUACAGAUCUUGAGGCAUGUCAACCUCUACAACCACAUGAGCCAAUUCCUUAUGAUAAAUCAUAAACACACACACACCGCAAACACACACACACAUUUCCAUCCUAUUGGUUCUGUUUCUCUGCAGGGUCCAGAUUAAGACAGCAAUAUAGACUGUGCUCAAACACUGCUACAUUUACCAUCUCAAGAUGGAAGGAGCCCUCAAAGUAGCUCUUUAAAUGUUUGCAAUGUGCCGGGGUAGUCAGCUGACCUUUUUCUGCCCCUGUUUAAUUGUCAGAAAAACAUAAGUUGGAUUUAGUGCUCCUUGAAGAAUAAUUCAUCUUUAAAGUUCUGUAACUCUGAUUUUUAUUCUACUCAACAGAUGGACUUUGGCCCAUUGAUUUAGCACCAUGUCAGCAUCAUUAAAUUUAACUAAACAAA
RNAcentral lists this long non-coding RNA (2255 nucleotides) under Homo sapiens (human). RNAcentral's name for it is "HSALNT0345820". The record is from RNAcentral. Lineage: Eukaryota; Metazoa; Chordata; Mammalia; Primates; Hominidae.